CGGUGUUCCGGAGAAUUCCGCACAAAUUGCGGAUACCGAAGGUGUAAAGCAUUUUGCUAAUCUCUCAGGUUAAAGGACGGAAG
Molecule: non-coding RNA, 83 nt
Filed under: pig gut metagenome
Description: Glycine riboswitch
Rfam family: Glycine riboswitch aptamer
About the family: This family represents the bacterial glycine riboswitch. Glycine riboswitches usually consist of two metabolite-binding aptamers domains with similar structures in tandem.
Source: RNAcentral